UAUUAGGUCAUUCUUGGAUUUUAGCCAGUCUGGCAUUAAGUUGUCGGGUUGGUGAAAACCAUCGUUUACUGUGAAAAAAUUAGAGUGUUCAAAGCAGACUUAUGUCGUUGAAUAGAUUAGCAUGGAAUAAUAAUAUAGGACUUUUGUACUAUUUUGUUGGUUAGGUGUAAAAGUAAUGAUCAAUAGGGACAGUUGGGCGUAUUCGUAUUUCGUUGCUAGAGGUGAAAUUCUUGGAUUUCCGAAAGACGAACUACUGCGAAAGCAUUUACGAAGGAUGUUUUCAUUAAUCAAGAACGAAAGUUAGGGGAUCGAAGAUGAUUAGAUACCAUCGUAGUCUUAACCAUAAACUAUGCCGACUCGGGAUUGGGCG
Molecule: ribosomal RNA, 370 nt
Filed under: Porosira sp. RCC4580
Lineage: Eukaryota; Bacillariophyta; Thalassiosirophyceae; Thalassiosirales; Thalassiosiraceae
Description: SSU rRNA
Rfam family: Eukaryotic small subunit ribosomal RNA
Source: RNAcentral